UACGAAGGGGGCUAGCGUUGCUCGGAAUCACUGGGCGUAAAGGGUGCGUAAGCGGGUCUUUAAGUCGGGGGUGAAAUCCUGGAGCUCAACUCCAGAACUGCCUUUGAUACUGAAGAUCUUGAGUUCGGGAGAGGUGAGUGGAACUGCGAGUGUAGAGGUGAAAUUCGUAGAUAUUCGCAAGAACACCAGUGGCGAAGGCGGCUCACUGGCCCGAUACUGACGCUGAGGCACGAAAGCGUGGGGAGCAAACAGG
This 253-nucleotide ribosomal RNA is filed under the name uncultured bacterium. RNAcentral describes it as "partial 16S ribosomal RNA". It matches the Rfam family "Bacterial small subunit ribosomal RNA", at positions 524 to 776 of the family's 1533-position model. The record is from RNAcentral.